UCCCUACAUUCCGGAUAAUUGGCCGAAAGGCCUUGUAAUACGGGCGAGGGCCGUGAUGAGGCAUCUCAUUACGAAGGGAGGCGCUGGAGCAAUCCGGUGUCGUGCAGGGAGGGGUUCGCGGAUUAUCAGCUAGUUGGUGGGGUAACGGCCUACCAAGGCGACGACGAUUAGCUGGUCUGAGAGGAUGGUCAGCCACAUUGGAACUGAGAUACUGUCCAG
RNAcentral lists this ribosomal RNA (219 nucleotides) under uncultured bacterium. RNAcentral's name for it is "partial 16S ribosomal RNA". It matches the Rfam family "Bacterial small subunit ribosomal RNA", at positions 129 to 334 of the family's 1533-position model. The record is from RNAcentral.